ACGCGUUGGCCCAACUGAUUGAACGUGCUUGCACGGACUUGACGUUGGUUUACCAGCGAGUGGCGGACGGGUGAGUAACACGUAGGUAACCUGCCCCAAAGCGGGGGAUAACAUUUGGAAACAGAUGCUAAUACCGCAUAACAAUUUGAAUCGCAUGAUUCAAAUUUAAAAGAUGGCUUCGGCUAUCACUUUGGGAUGGACCUGCGGCGCAUUAGCUUGUUGGUAGGGUAACGGCCUACCAAGGCUGUGAUGCGUAGCCGAGUUGAGAGACUGAUCGGCCACAAUGGAACUGAGACACGGUCCAUACUCCUACGGGAGGCAGCAGUAGGGAAUCUUCCACAAUGGGCGCAAGCCUGAUGGAGCAACACCGCGUGAGUGAAGAAGGGUUUCGGCUCGUAAAGCUCUGUUGUUAGAGAAGAACGUGCGUGAGAGCAACUGUUCACGCAGUGACGGUAUCUAACCAGAAAGUCACGGCUAACUACGUGCCAGCAGCCGCGGUAAUACGUAGGUGGCAAGCGUUAUCCGGAUUUAUUGGGCGUAAAGCGAGCGCAGGCGGUUUGAUAAGUCUGAUGUGAAAGCCUUUGGCUUAACCAAAGAAGUGCAUCGGAAACUGUCAGACUUGAGUGCAGAAGAGGACAGUGGAACUCCAUGUGUAGCGGUGGAAUGCGUAGAUAUAUGGAAGAACACCAGUGGCGAAGGCGGCUGUCUGGUCUGCAACUGACGCUGAGGCUCGAAAGCAUGGGUAGCGAACAGGAUUAGAUACCCUGGUAGUCCAUGCCGUAAACGAUGAGUGCUAGGUGUUGGAGGG
This 808-nucleotide ribosomal RNA is filed under the name bacterium IARFR1755. RNAcentral's name for it is "bacterial SSU rRNA". It matches the Rfam family "Bacterial small subunit ribosomal RNA", at positions 53 to 830 of the family's 1533-position model. The record is from RNAcentral.